Molecule: ribosomal RNA, 426 nt
Filed under: uncultured bacterium
Lineage: Bacteria
Description: bacterial SSU rRNA
Rfam family: Bacterial small subunit ribosomal RNA
Source: RNAcentral
UGGGGAAUUUUGGACAAUGGGCGCAAGCCUGAUCCAGCCAUUCCGCGUGCAGGAUGAAGGCCUCGGGUUGUAAACUGCUUUUGUACGGAACGAAAAGCCUUUUUCUAAUACAAGAAGGUCAUGACGGUACCGUAAGAAUAAGCACCGGCUAACUACGUGCCAGCAGCCGCGGUAAUACGUAGGGUGCAAGCGUUAAUCGGAAUUACUGGGCGUAAAGCGUGCGCAGGCGGUAAUGCAAGACAGAUGUGAAAUCCCCGGGCUCAACCUGGGAACUGCAUUUGUGACUGCAUUGCUGGAGUGCGGCAGAGGGGGAUGGAAUUCCGCGUGUAGCAGUGAAAUGCGUAGAUAUGCGGAGGAACACCGAUGGCGAAGGCAAUCCCCUGGGCCUGCACUGACGCUCAUGCACGAAAGCGUGGGGAGCAAACA